UGGGGAAUAUUGCACAAUGGGCGAAAGCCUGAUGCAGCAACGCCGCGUGAGUGAUGAAGGUCUUCGGGUUGUAAAGCUCUGUCUUUUGGGACGAUAAUGACGGUACCAAAGGAGGAAGCCACGGCUAACUACGUGCCAGCAGCCGCGGUAAUACGUAGGUGGCGAGCGUUGUCCGGAUUUACUGGGCGUAAAGGGUGCGUAGGCGGAUGUUUAAGUGAGAUGUGAAAUACCCGGGCUUAACUUGGGUGCUGCAUUUCAAACUGGAUAUCUAGAGUGCAGGAGAGGAGAAUGGAAUUCCUAGUGUAGCGGUGAAAUGCGUAGAGAUUAGGAAGAACACCAGUGGCGAAGGCGAUUCUCUGGACUGUAACUGACGCUGAGGCACGAAAGCGUGGGUAGCAAACAGGAUUAGAUACCCUGGUAGUCCACGCCGUAAACGAUGAGUACUAGGUGUAGGAGGUAUCGACCCCUUCUGUGCCGCAGUAAACACAUUAAGUACUCCGCCUGGGAAGUACGAUCGCAAGAUU
Molecule: ribosomal RNA, 524 nt
Filed under: uncultured bacterium
Lineage: Bacteria
Description: partial 16S ribosomal RNA
Rfam family: Bacterial small subunit ribosomal RNA
Source: RNAcentral